RNAcentral lists this long non-coding RNA (1535 nucleotides) under Volvox carteri. Its description in RNAcentral is "long non-coding RNA (VCAR_LNC004341)". The record is from RNAcentral. Lineage: Eukaryota; Viridiplantae; Chlorophyta; Chlorophyceae; Chlamydomonadales; Volvocaceae.
GACACCUCUAAUUUGUCAAAGGAACUCUCCAAGUUGGAGUUAGAUUAGAGAAAACCCUUCUUGAUGAUAAGAAGUUGUACAAAAAGCUUAGAUUAAAGAAACAAUCAGAACUAGAAAGCAGUAACAAUCGUGCCUCCCAGAAACAACUUCAAAGUUACAGUGAAGGCGCUUCUAUUGGCGCUUUCCGUAGUGUCUCCUUUUCUUUAAUACCUGUAAAUCCCGAUUUAAAAGAUAAAAUUUAUGGUGAUUUGUACAAUACUUACAUUUGUUUCUCUGCUACCUUAACAGAUAGUGAAGUGGCUGAUAUUCUUUACGAUAUGGAGUUUGAAUCACUCACUGAAGGCGCUUUAUACAAAGUUCUUGGUGGUUCAAUUAAGGAACGUAGAAGUAGAAAAUUUAAACCAGUUAUUUCUUAAACAGCUUUAAAAAUUUCCCGGUUUUAACGGAAAAUUUUCUUUAGUAAAAUUUAUAAACAAGGUCAAUCAGCAUUAUAACGUGAACUUUUUCUAAAGUUCUCAGAACCUUUCAAGUGCAACACUAGUGUUGCACUUUACUGUUACAACAGUAUAAUAAAAUACUUUGCACUGAUCAAAAAACUUCAACUUUUAAACUAAAAACGACAAAAAGUAAAAAAGCAAAAUAAAAUUUAGCAAAAAACACAAAAAGUGCGUCACAUGCGUCACAUGCGUCACAUGCGUCACGAGUCUUAUGUGCGUCCUUUAUUGGACUUUCAAAAAAACGACAAAAAGUAAAAAAGCAAAAUAAAAAAUCACAAAAAACGCAAAAAGUGCGUCACAUGCGUCACAUGCGUCACAAGCGUCACAAUCGUCACAAGCGUCACAAGCGUCACAAUUAAAAUUUGCGCCACAAAAGCAUAAGUCACACACCAGAUAAGACAUUGAAGUGUGUACGACUUGUGAGGUAUAUGACUUUCGUAAAGCAAGUGGCGCUUGUGACGCUCAUGACGCUUGUAACGCACUUUUCGGGGUUUUUAUUUCCUCUUUUUCUUCGUUUUCAGUUUGUUAUGAAAGUUUAAUUAUUGACGCUAGUAAAGCUAGUGACGCAUGUGAAGCAUGUGACGCUUGUGACGCAUGUGACGCAUGUGACGCACUUUUUGCGUUUUUUGUGAUUUUCAGAUUCUACUUUUUCACUUUCUGUCGUUUUUAGUUUAUGUUUUUCCUUGUCUAUAUAUAUCUAUGUAUCUCAACACUAAGGGAGCGGGGAGAAAUACAUAAUCUAUAUGGAUUUACUUGUUAAUGCCUUGAGGUUUUACAUGGUAACGUAAUCUUUAGUUGUAGUAAUAUAAACAAAUCUAUAAACUAUAGCGAAAGGUAUAACUAAUUAUUGAAGUGCUAUUGUCUCAUGUUUAAUAGACACUUCAGUAAUAGUAGUACUCUUUUUACGUGUCUGCUUCUCCUUUAACUGUUACUUUUAGAGCAAGACUUAUACACGCUUUUGAGUAACUUCCCAGCUCUUUGUUAAUUCGUUGUUCAACGUAGUUUAUAUCUAAGUUUUCAGCAUGUAGUAUCAGCACG